CCUACGGGAGGCAGCAGUAGGGAAUCUUCCGCAAUGGGCGCAAGCCUGACGGAGCAACGCCGCGUGAGUGACGAAGGUCUUCGGAUCGUAAAGCUCUGUUGCCAAGGAAGAAAAGCGGAUAGAAGGAAAGCUAUUCGUGUGACGGUACUUGAGAAGAAAGCCCCGGCUAACUACGUGCCAGCAGCCGCGGUAAUACGUAGGGGGCAAGCGUUGUCCGGAAUUAUUGGGCGUAAAGCGCGCGCAGGCGGUUUGUUAAGUCUGAUGUGAAAGGCAAGGGCUCAACCCUUGUUAGCAUUGGAAACUGACAGACUGGAGUGCAGCAGAGGAAAGUGGAAUUCCACGUGUAGCGGUGAAAUGCGUAGAGAUGUGGAGGAACACCAGUGGCGAAGGCGACUUUCUGGGCUGUAACUGACGCUGAGGCGCGAAAGCGUGGGGAGCAAACAGGAUUAGAUACCCUAGUAGUC
RNAcentral lists this ribosomal RNA (464 nucleotides) under uncultured bacterium. RNAcentral's name for it is "bacterial SSU rRNA". It matches the Rfam family "Bacterial small subunit ribosomal RNA", at positions 338 to 795 of the family's 1533-position model. The record is from RNAcentral.